Molecule: unclassified non-coding RNA, 232 nt
Filed under: uncultured fungus
Lineage: Eukaryota; Fungi
Also listed under: 1 other name
Description: sequence contains ITS1, 5.8S rRNA gene
Source: RNAcentral
UUGAAUAAACUUGGUCAAGCUGUUGCUGGUCCUUCGGGGCAUGUGCACGCUUGCCACCAAUUUUAACCACCUGUGCACCUUUUGUAGAUUGGAAACGUUUCUCGAGGCAACUCGGAUUGAGGACUGCUGUGCGCAAGCCGGCUGUUCUUGUGUUUCUCAAUCUAUGUUUUCAUAUACUCCUAAUGUAUGUAUCAGAAUGUAUUGUUAGGCCUCAGUGCCUUUAAAUCAAAUA